Molecule: ribosomal RNA, 471 nt
Filed under: uncultured bacterium
Lineage: Bacteria
Description: partial 16S ribosomal RNA
Rfam family: Bacterial small subunit ribosomal RNA
Source: RNAcentral
GACGAACGCUGGCGGCGUGCUUAACACAUGCAAGUCGAACGAUGAAGCGGUGCUUGCACCGUGGAUUAGUGGCGAACGGGUGAGUAAUACGUGAGUGACCUACCUUUGACUCUGGGAUAAGCCUGGUAAACUGGGUCUAAUACCGGAUACGACCAAUCUCUGCCUGGGGUGUUGGUGGAAAGCGUUAUGGAGUGGUUUUAGAUGGGCUCACGGCCUAUCAGCUUGUUGGUGAGGUAAUGGCUUACCAAUGCGACGACGGGUAGCCGACCUGAGAGGGUGACCGGCCACACUGGGACUGAGACACGGCCCAGACGCCUACGGGAGGCAGCAGUGGGGAAUAUUGCGCAAUGGGCGCAAGCCUGAUGCAGCGACGCCGCGUGAGGGAUGACGGCCUUCGGGUUGUAAACCACUGUUAGCAUCGAAGAAGCGAAAGUGACGGUAGGUGCAGAGAAAGCGCCGGCUAACUACGUG